Molecule: ribosomal RNA, 336 nt
Filed under: uncultured Oceanospirillales bacterium
Lineage: Bacteria; Pseudomonadati; Pseudomonadota; Gammaproteobacteria; Oceanospirillales
Description: SSU rRNA
Rfam family: Bacterial small subunit ribosomal RNA
Source: RNAcentral
UUGAACGCUGGCGGUAGGCUUAACACAUGCAAGUCGUGCGAGAAAGUAUCUUCGGAUAUGAGUAGAGCGGCGGACGGGUGAGUAACGCGUAGGAAUCUACCUAGUAGAAGGGGAUAGCCCGGGGAAACCCGGAUUAAUACCGUAUACCUCCUUCGGGAGAAAGAAGGCCUCUCUUUGAAGCUUUCGCUACUAGAUGAGCCUGCGUAAGAUUAGCUUGUUGGUGAGGUAAAGGCUCACCAAGGCGACGAUCUAUAGCUGGUUUGAGAGGAUGAUCAGCAACACUGGGACUGAGACACGGCCCAGACUCCUACGGGAGGCAGCAGUGGGGAAUCUUAG